ACAUACACCAGAUCGGCGCAGAGAUGCGUUUUCCCUUUGUGGUUGGUGUACAGGUGGUGCAUGGUUGUCGUCAGCUCGUGUCGUGAGAUGUUGGGUUAAGUCCCGCAACGAGCGCAACCCUUGUCUUAUGUUGCCAGCACGUGAUGGUGGGGACUCAUGAGAGACUGCCGGGGUUAACUCGGAGGAAGGUGGGGAUGACGUCAAAUCAUCAUGCCCCUUAUGUCCAGGGCUUCACACAUGCUACAAUGGUCGGUACAACGCGUGUGCGACACUGUGAGGUGAAGCUAAUCGCUCUAAAGCCGGUCGUAGUUCGGAUUGGGGUCUGCAACUCGACCCCAUGAAGUCGGAGUCGCUAGUAAUCGCAGAUCAGCAACGCUGCGGUGAAUACGUUCCCGGGCCUC
RNAcentral lists this ribosomal RNA (401 nucleotides) under uncultured Corynebacterium sp. RNAcentral's name for it is "bacterial SSU rRNA". It matches the Rfam family "Bacterial small subunit ribosomal RNA", at positions 984 to 1381 of the family's 1533-position model. Lineage: Bacteria; Bacillati; Actinomycetota; Actinomycetes; Mycobacteriales; Corynebacteriaceae. The record is from RNAcentral.